CGUAGGGUGCGAGCGUUAAUCGGAAUUACUGGGCGUAAAGCGUGCGUAGGCGGUUCGUUAAGUCAGCUGUGAAGGCCCCGGGCUCAACCUGGGAACUGCGGUUGAAACUGGCGAACUAGAAUCUGGCAGAGGGGGUGGAAUUCCACGUGUAGCAGUGAAAUGCGUAGAGAUGUGGAGGAACACCGAUGGCGAAGGCAGCCCCCUGGGCUGAGAUUGACGCUCAGGCACGAAAGCGUGGGGAGCAAACAGGAUUAGAUACCCUGGUAGUCCACGCCCUAAACGAUGUCAACUAGGUGUUGGAGGAGCAAUCCUUUGGUACCGCAGCUAACGCGUGAAGUUGACCGCCUGGGGAGUACGGUCGCAAGAUUA
This 369-nucleotide ribosomal RNA is filed under the name uncultured organism. RNAcentral's name for it is "bacterial SSU rRNA". It matches the Rfam family "Bacterial small subunit ribosomal RNA", at positions 526 to 896 of the family's 1533-position model. The record is from RNAcentral.